Molecule: long non-coding RNA, 2208 nt
Organism: Ostrea edulis (European flat oyster)
Lineage: Eukaryota; Metazoa; Mollusca; Bivalvia; Ostreida; Ostreidae
Exons: 3
Source: RefSeq, a predicted model, not a curated record
UCGAGUUGAUAGAUUGAUCGCUCUAUGUGUUAGAAUUCGAUCUGUAAUUCGUGCCGUUGAGUGAACAUUUACUGCAAUUUUAAAUCUGCAUUUCCCAGCCCAGUUUUGAUACAGUUUAGCUAGAAAGUUGCCAAGAUGUCUAAGUAUAGUCUUCCCUUCUGCGAAACUUUCAUUCCGAAUUUAAUUAUCAGUACACAAAUCAUUUUGAUUGCCAUAUACAGGUUCACAUCAGCGCAAUUUUUUUUUUCGCAAUUUCUUACCCAUCAUCCCUCAUUAUUUUUUUUUAUAUUGAUACCACUAUUCAUUGUGCACCGAAAUCUACACAAGAUUUGUACAUGUACACUCUAGCUAAAAUGUACUCUCUCAUACUCUCAACACUAACAUCUGUAACAAACAAUUUGAGUAGUCUCGCUUUCCCCAUGAAAACUCUCGCUCUCGAGACAUAGCACGAACGAGAAUAGCCUAGUACUUCCUUCUUUGAACAUCGGAAGGCCUCGGGUACCAGGCUAGAACGAGAGUCUGGUUCGAUUCCCAUUUCAAAUCGCGGCUUGCCGAGAAAUCGGUACUGUUUCUGAUUGGUUGAUAGAGAAACAUGGAGGAACUGAAAUUCAAAGCAACUGUCAAAGUUUGUUUACAAAGGCGAAAUUUAUAUUAUCAAUUGAAAGAACUUCAGUUAUCAAUACUGAAAAAGAUUUUGGUUCAACACACAAUAGAAUAUCUCUGUUUGCUUUGUAACUAUAUCCUUAUCAGGAGUAGUUAUUAUUUUGGUUUAACACCCUCUACUGGUCACAAUAUUAAAAUAGGAAUCGUACCAGACUCUCACUCAGUGAGGAAGACGAUGAAAUGUAUUAAGUGGCUUCGGUUUAAAAUUGAUUGAUUGUAUAUAGUUUAACGUCCCUCUCGAGAAUUUUUCGCUCACAUGGAGAUGUCACCAUUGGCAGUGAAGGACUGCAUUUAGGCCCAUGUUCGGCGCUUAUUGCCAUUGAGCAGGGAGGAUCUUUAUCGUGCCACACGGUACCUCAGUUUUUAUGGUCUCAUCCGAAGGACCACCCCAUUUAGUCGCCUCUUACUACACGUAAGGGAGUACUGAUACCUAUUCUAACUCGGAUCCCCACGGGAUUGUAAAUAUUUGACGCGGCCAUGGCACGAGCGGGGCUUGAACUCACGAAUCCCGGUUACGAACCGAACGCUCUACCACACUAUUGCACAAUUGAAAGACACUGGUAUUCGAACUUCAAUUAACAAAGUUAAUAACACGUUUGACCACCAUUUGCAUUCACGCAUGCUUGACAACGACGCCUCAUUGAUGCCACUAAAGUGUUCAGAAAUGCUUAAGUGAUGUUGUUCCACAUGUUGGUUAAAGCCUGACCUAAAUCAGUCAAUAUCACUGGCUGAUUUGGUAAACGUCGUAGACGUCGUUCCAUUUAAUCCCAGACGUACUCAUUCAGCGAUAAAUCGGGGGAAACAGCUGGCCAAUGCAAGACAUCGACAUUCUGUUGAACAAAAAUGUCCUUGACUACACAUGCAACAGGUGGCCUUGCGUUGUCUUGCUGCAGAGUGAUGUGAUUUUGCUGUCUCUGUAUGAAGGGUAUCACAUGGCGCUGAAUAAUUUCGUCUCGAUAGCGUACGCCGGUGAGAUUUCCAUUGACAAUUUGUAGAGGGGUCCUUCCAUAACGCUACCUCCACCGAAUUGUCGACGUUGCACAACACAAGCGUCCUGGUACCGCUCCCCAGCGCGACGAUACACUCUACAACGACCGUCACUGCUAUCCAAAUGAAAUCUGGAUUCAUCAGUGAACAGAAUAUUGGCCCAGUCCUGUAUUCUGAAUCGCAGAUGUCGUCCGCACCACGCUCGUCUAGCGAUACAAUGACGUUGAAGCAGUAUUGGGCGCACUGCUGGACGUCUUGGUCUGAUGUUGUGCUCGCGCAGACGAUUACGCACAGUUCUUGGACUGAUUGGUCGAAGUCCAGGAAGCGAAUAAUUGCCAAUUGAUUCCAAAUUGUGUUUGUGUUAAAUGUGUUUGAGGCAUAAUAAUCCUCACAAUGUGAAUAAUUGUAAUUUCAGAAAUUUUUGUAAUGAUUUCAUAAGACACUUGCAUGUUUGAUUGUUUAUAUUUCUCAUUUGUUAAUGUAAUUAGGAUACUUGCAGACAUUAUGGACAGUGAUAUUAAAGGGGAGGAUAUGUUAUAUCUUUAUCCGGAAUUGUAA